RNAcentral lists this unclassified non-coding RNA (329 nucleotides) under soil metagenome. RNAcentral describes it as "partial contains 5.8S ribosomal RNA, internal transcribed spacer 2, and large subunit ribosomal RNA". The stretch from base 1 to 120 matches the Rfam family "5.8S ribosomal RNA", at positions 35 to 154 of the family's 154-position model. The record is from RNAcentral.
GAUGAAGAACGUAGCGAAAUGCGAUAAGUAAUGUGAAUUGCAGAAUUCAGUGAAUCAUCGAAUCUUUGAACGCACAUUGCGCCCCUUGGUAUUCCGAGGGGCAUGCCUGUUCGAGCGUCAUUAUAACCCCUCAAGCUCAGCUUGGUGUUGGGGCCUGCUGCACUGGCAGCCCUUAAAAUCAGUGGCGGCGCCAUCUGGCUCUAAGCGUAGUAAUUCUUCUCGCUAUGGAGUCCUNGUGGAUGCUUGCCAUCAACCCCCAAUUUUUCUAUGGUUGACCUCGGAUCAGGUAGGGAUACCCGCUGAACUUAAGCAUAUCAAUAAGCGGAGGA